AGCAACUUCACUUUCACUUUAGAGCCAUCAACAUUAGGUUGAUAAUACUUCUGUUGAUUAAACAAAUUGCAGAAAGUCUCCUGCUUCCAGACACGGUAACUAUAGCUUAUGUAACUGGUCACCAGGAAGGGAAUUCUAUGGAAGCCACAGGGAACAGGCUCACAGAUGAAGCCACUAAGUGAGCCUCUCUAGGGGAGAAAAUGAAGCUAUUAAACCUAAUCUCAAACACCCAAACUGAAGACCAAAGAUCGGUGUCACCUGACAGAAGGAAAAUGACAAGGAAGCCCACGAAGAGGGAGUUAAUGCCCAUUGGGGCCCCCAGGCUAUGUAUGAUACAGUACUUAGAAAUUAUGGUUGCCUGAGAAUUUACACCAUUGCGAAACAGGUUUACAGUAGCCUGCCAGGAAAUUAACAAGAGGGUGAUUAGGAAAACACACUCCGGGAGGCAGACUUCCUGGGCUAAGACCAAUUUCUAAGAAACUAUAUACUGACCAUUUCCUCUACCUUAUCAUUCCCCAGAUUAAAAGGACACCUUGCCCAGACUCUGCCUGUAGAAUUCAUCACUUCCAGCCCAGUGACUUGGUGUUAAUCAAACCCUGGAAAGAAGACAAACUCCAACCAAGCUGGAAAGGCCCUUAUCAAGUGCUCCUGACCACUGAGACAGCUGUAUGGACUGCUGAAAAAGGUUGUACUCAUUACACACGAGUCAAGGGGCCAAAUAAAAGAGACCUCAAAGGGAAGGGAAAGGACCAAUGAGCAGCCUUUAAAGGGUCUUUUCCAAUGAGCUGGCUCUUCACAUCAGAUGGCCAAAAUAUUGGCACUUCAGCUUCAGUCCUUCCAGUGAGUAUUCAGGGCUGACUUCCUUUAGGACUGACUGGUUUGCAGUAUUUAUAUGGUUGUUCUAUACAUUUCUGUACAACCAGUGGGGUGUGGUGAGUGUUCAAUGGCUGCUUCUUUGGGAGAAGCAGAGAAGCGUGUGUUUCUGUCUAAUUACACUUGUGCCCUGUGUAUGUAUAGUUUCUUCUAAAUUUUACCAUUUUCCCAUAUGUAAGUUUCGAAGACAAUAAAACAAUAAAACGGA
Odocoileus virginianus texanus is the source of this 1081-nucleotide non-coding RNA. Lineage: Eukaryota; Metazoa; Chordata; Mammalia; Artiodactyla; Cervidae. The record is from RefSeq and is a predicted model, not a curated record.